ACUGGCAGCAUAUGGAGGUUCCCAGGCUAGGGGUUGAAUCGGAGCUGUAGACACUGGCCUACACUACAGCCCCAGCAACUCCAGCUGCAUCUGUGACCUGCAGCACAGCUUAUGGCAAUGCUGGAUCCUUAACCCACUGAGCAAGGCCAGGGAUCGAACCCUCGUCCUCAUGGAUGCUAGUCAGGUUCAUUAACCACUGAGCCACAUUGGGAACUCCCAUUAAUUAAUUUAUUUAUUGGCCAUGCCAGUAAUUAUCCUUGGAAUGUGAAUUCUCCCUCAAGUUGGUGUGAUGGAAAACUAAAGGGCCCAGGGACAAGGAGUAAGUCUCAGACCAACUCUACCUGAGCUGGGUCUGGUGGGGUACUCUGAAGGUGGACAAUCUGAUUUGUUGGAAAGGGUUUUUUUUUUAGGGGGAACAGAGGCAACACCUGAGGUCUGAGUACUGGGCUAUAAAUACAGGUGAAAUCACAUCAUGAGGAUGCCCUGAUAAGGCCACCUCACUCGUCAUCAUUGAAAAUGGAUACCCAGGCUUGGCGUGACCAUCCUGUUGGCCUGUGAGCCGAGCUCUGUCUCAGGAAGGGUCACGGGAUGUGGUGGUGGGGCUCUCGGGAGGGAGAAUUCCAGUUCAGGGUAAGGCGCAUAACAGAAGUUCUCUUUGAAUUACCAUCACAGAACCUCAGGGCUAAGGCUGGGUUGCAGGUCAGAACCCAUCUCUGAUUUCCUUGGCUUUUUUUGUUUGUUUUGGUUUUUAGGGCCAAACAUGUGGCAUAUGGAAGUUCCCAGGCUAGGGGUCAAAUUGGAGCUACAGCUGUCAGCCGACACCACAGGCACAGCAACGCCAGAUCCGAGCCAAGUCUUCGACCUAUACCACAGCUCACGGCAAAUCCUUAACCCACUGAGCAAGGCCAGAGAUUGAACCCACAUCCUCAUGGAUACUAGUUGGGAUUUUUACCGCUGAGCCACAGUGGGAACUCCCUCCUUGACUUUUAAAUGGGGAAGCUCACCUUUCCUUGCCUCUCCCCUUCUGUUUCUCUGAAAGCUCAAAAUGAGACCCUUAAAAUUCACCAUGGGAAAAGCCACCCAAAGUGAGAGAAUUAUCUGCAAGCAAGACAAAUUUUGGUUCCUGAAUUACAGGAUGUCGAGGAUGGAAUUAAUUCUAUUAAGCUGAAGUGCGUGUCUGCCAUUUCGCUCGGUGGGCUCAUCAAUAGCACAAAUGAUCCAUAAUUAGUGUUUUAAAGGCCAGAUUUCACUCACAGGCAAAUAUCUGAGGGUGCCUGAGAGUCAUUGAAUAGAGAGCGUCUGAAGUUGCCUCCUUGUCUCCACUCUGUGACGGUACAACCUCUCUCAAGGCAAAGUUUGGCUCAGUCUCUUAAACUCAUCACAGAUUCUUCACUGGGAAUGUGGAAAUGAGGGGUCUUUGUUGAAUUCAGUGUUUGAAUUAUAUUACAUUAAAUGUAUGUUCAGUUCUAUGUGAUUGAUGAGGGCAUUUAACAAGAGUAAAAAAUUUUACUUGCUCUGUGUCUCCAGGUAUUUCUAUCUCACAUAUUCCAAAGAAAGAACCAGCUUCUGAGACUCAUGGGAGCUCACCUGAAAGCCCUAGGAAUAUUUUGCCUGGUGGGGCUCCACUCUACCCUGUCAUGUGGAGUGGCUAGAAGUCAGAAGAUGGCCUUUUAUGGCACCGGUUAAUGUAACUGUCUGGCUUGGAGGUCAAGAGUGGACACUGGGACUUUGGGUAGACCUGGGUUCAAAGCCUGAUCUUGCUACUCACUAGUGCUCUGUGACCCUGCAGCACCACCAUGCUCUGAGCUUGACUCACUUUUACCAUCUGCAAAAUGGGACUCAAAGGUGAGUUGGGUCAAGGUCAAAUGAUGACAUGGGGAUUAGACCUGGCCUCCAGACGGGUGUGCUCUGGAUCUGCCAAUAUCUGUGACUAUUGUUCCCUCUGAAUAAGACUGACAGAGAAUGUCCACAUUCUGCUUUUUAUCUU
Long non-coding RNA from Sus scrofa (pig), 1987 nucleotides. RefSeq lists it as uncharacterized. The record is from RefSeq and is a predicted model, not a curated record. Lineage: Eukaryota; Metazoa; Chordata; Mammalia; Artiodactyla; Suidae.